CUUGUUUUAUGUUGGUGUAUAUCUGGUUUGAUAUUAUUGCUUUAGUAGCUUAAUUUGUGUAUAGUUGUUAUUUAAGCCAAGUCUAUGUGCUGCUUAUUCAAGUUUUCAUGCGUUACAUUCAUAAUUCGUAUUUUGUGAUAAUUAUGGUUUUAGGACUCAAUAGUAAUGUAAAUUAAGUUUGUUUAUGUGAAACUGGUUUAGCUUGGGUACACACCGCCCGUCA
RNAcentral lists this ribosomal RNA (223 nucleotides) under Tschertkovilepis setigera. RNAcentral's name for it is "partial small subunit ribosomal RNA". Lineage: Eukaryota; Metazoa; Platyhelminthes; Cestoda; Cyclophyllidea; Hymenolepididae. The record is from RNAcentral.